Molecule: non-coding RNA, 23 nt
Filed under: Cricetulus griseus (Chinese hamster)
Lineage: Eukaryota; Metazoa; Chordata; Mammalia; Rodentia; Cricetidae
Source: RNAcentral
GUAAGAGCCUGUCCAGGGGUAGG